RNAcentral lists this ribosomal RNA (248 nucleotides) under uncultured bacterium. RNAcentral describes it as "partial 16S ribosomal RNA". It matches the Rfam family "Bacterial small subunit ribosomal RNA", at positions 83 to 334 of the family's 1533-position model. The record is from RNAcentral.
CCCAGGCGUCGAGUGGCGGACGGGUGAGUAAUACUUAGGAAUCUGCCCAUUAGUGGGGGACAACUCGGGGAAACCCGAGCUAAUACCGCAUACGCCCUACGGGGGAAAGCGGGGGAUCUUCGGACCUCGCGCUAAUGGAUGAGCCUAAGUCGGAUUAGCUUGUUGGUGGGGUAAAGGCCUACCAAGGCGACGAUCCGUAGCUGGUCUGAGAGGAUGAUCAGCCACACUGGAACUGAGACACGGUCCAG